This is a long non-coding RNA of Triticum aestivum (bread wheat), 1984 nucleotides long. RefSeq lists it as uncharacterized. The transcript has 2 exons. The record is from RefSeq and is a predicted model, not a curated record. Lineage: Eukaryota; Viridiplantae; Streptophyta; Magnoliopsida; Poales; Poaceae.
CAGGCUCUCGCCUCAUCUUCUUUCAAUCCCCAUCUGGCCAUCUCCUCUUUGUGGAAGCCAUGCGGAGGAGCGCCCAUCCAGGCUGCCGGUGCCCCUGGCCACUGGAUCCCUCCCCCGGCGUCGUCGUUCGAGGCACCGCCGCGGCGCCGUCCCGCUUCUGCCGCCGCGGCCAUCUCCACGACGAUGUGGCAGACCUCCUCUCGGAGCUCCACGUUGAAGGCUGGGCCGAGCUGCCGCUGCCUGGGUCCCCCGUGUGCGCUGCCCGCAUCCUGUUCACUGCCGCAGUGCUGCCAUCGGCGUGCUUCGCGCUACCCUCCACCACACUCCCGGUUGGCACCAUGCCGCCGAUGAUGAUCCCAUGGUGAUGACGACAUGCAGCCUAUCCUUGCUGCGCUGGAGGUCGUCCAUCCUCCACCCUCUGCCGGGGACGAGGUACGCCGCGGUGCAUUCAUCCAUGCUUCACCCCUUCCGACCCAUCUCGGACGGCGCCGCACUGUGGUAGCAGCCAGUCGCGACGAGACCGGCAACGCCUCCGCGUGCGGGCAGCGCACUUUCAAGGCCCGGUUGCAGUUCGCCGCAUGCCGCCAUCACCGAGCGUACGUGCUUUCCGUCAACAAGAGCACGGACCACAGCACGUACACUAUGCCGCUGCACUGUUUGUCCUUCAAGAUUAGCUGCAUGAUUAUCCGUCAAAAACCAGUCAUCUGAAGGACAGACCGUCGUUUGCGGGCCGUGUGCUGUUUGUUAGCUGCUUCCACCAGGUGUGAGAGAUCAAUAGAGAACGAGACGGCGUACAGGAAUCAAAAAUAAAUUCGUCUCUCUCUCUCUCUCUCUCUCUCUCUCUCUCUCUCUCUCUCUCUCUCUCUCUCUCUCUCUCUCUCUCUCUCUCCUUUUGCUUUCUCUCUCUCUCUCUCUCCUUUUGCUUUUUGAUGUACGUGUUUCAUGCAUGCAGCUCCGCUGACGUGCUACUCUGUUUGAGUUCUUCUGUUUGAAGUAUGAGAGAAAUCAAAUUCCUAUGUAUAGUGAGCCUUCCAAUUUGCACUAAUUAUUUAUGCAACUUUUGAUGUACUUGAGGUGCAGGAAUCUACAAGCAAGUUUGAUAAUGCAGCGUAUGUAGUUCCUACUAUAGAAUCUCUAAAAAGGCUUAUAUUUAUGAACGGAUGGAGUAUUAGUUGAUAACAUGCGGAGCUCAAUCUAAUGAAUCAGAAACGAAGUGUGGACAUAGUACUACAUUUAGUGUUUAAGGUUUUUGCAGAUUGAGCAUUUGUGGUUUCAUGAAUUUUCACUAUUUUGAAGAUGUGGUGACCGCAGGCACAACCGCACAAUCAUAUUAUUAUUUUUGUAUUUUUUGUUUGAAGGAAGGCCUACUCCUCUUGGUAAGUUCACCUUUUUUACUGUGCCUGUGCCGCUGCUGCUACUGAUAAUUUCCUUCUGUAUCUGAUUCUAUAUUGUAUAUAUGGUUGGUAUUUGAGUGAUGCCUACUCGGUCCAUCUUUCCUUUUAUCUCCAUGUAGAACUAGGUGUGACACCUACUGAAGUAGCGUGCAGAAAAUCCAUGCCAUUUGGCGGCCUCAACGAAGCGCAACGUUGACUCACUUACCUGUACAUGCUCUAUAUAUUACCGGUUGUGCAUUCACGAGCAAGAUCAGCUCAGUAUACCACAAUGGACGAAGCUUACCGCCCCCAAAGAGCAUCCUCCGUAGCAAAGCAAAUUAAGAAGGGCAAACAUCCAGUCCUAAAUUUUGAUCAUGGGAGCGGAAGCAGCUCGGAGGAGAAUCUUAUAGUAUAUACAUUCCAAGACGACCAAUACUUGAAACAGUGAGUGAACAGUUGGCCUAAAAGUACAAGGCUACUCCUGUUGGUAUGUACAUGAAGGUAUGAUACAAGCGUCCGUACUAAUUGCUCUGCCAUGACAGAGAUAUAGUUUCAGAGAAUCCUCCAUUACAUAUGAAGGAGAGGCAGCUAAUAUAGAAGAUGAAGCAAUG